Violaceomyces palustris is the source of this 102-nucleotide non-coding RNA. The record is from the annotation of a GenBank genome assembly. NCBI's taxonomy places the organism in Eukaryota, Fungi, Basidiomycota, Ustilaginomycetes, Violaceomycetales, Violaceomycetaceae.
GAUCCCUUGGCCAAAUGGUAAGGCGUCCGAUUCCAGCUCUUAAGCGCGCAUUCGCGCCCUCGCGCUUCCGGAAGAUUAUCUGUUCGAUUCAGGUAGGGAUCA